CAAUUAUUGACGAAAGAACCUCUUUUCACGACAAGCGGCCAACGAGUUCUCACGGCGUUAACAAGGCAUGAGUGGCGGGACCAAAGGUGGAAGCAACAACAAUAAACGCCCGUUCCAAAGAA
Eleginops maclovinus (Patagonian blennie) is the source of this 122-nucleotide long non-coding RNA. RefSeq lists it as uncharacterized. The transcript is spliced from 2 exons. The record is from RefSeq and is a predicted model, not a curated record. NCBI's taxonomy places the organism in Eukaryota, Metazoa, Chordata, Actinopteri, Perciformes, Eleginopidae.